CCCAGUUCAAGGCCACCUUCUCAAAAAGGCGUCCUGGAUCCUUCUUUGAGCAAAGCAGCUCCCCUCCCUGGAGAGUGGAUGAGCUCUCGCUCCUAACCCCAUCCUUAGGAGAGACCCUGCCAGCUAUGGGUCCGCAAGACCCCCACUCGCUGCAAUCUGUGCCUGUCACGACAGAAAGACCAAAGGCAAGUCGACCGGCCUGGGGAAGCAGGAAGGAAGGCUCUGGCCAGAGACUUGGGACAAACGCAAGGUGGCGCAAGUUGGCACCAUGAGCUUGGUGCCCCGGGACAGAGCGUCUCCAAAGCGUGAGCCCGAUGACGCUGUAGGCGACGAACAUCACCACGAGAGGCAGGAAGCAAACCGACUAGCAUAUGUGCCCAGUGAGGGCUUCCCCUUCCGCAAAGGGGACACCAGUGUAAGCUCUGAGUCCUUCCAAGUGGCAGACAAGUUAUCAAAUGAGGAAAUAAAGAGGAAUGAAAAAGUUAACCAAUACAUUUGUUAAAAACUUAUGACAUUAAGCACAAGUGAAAGUGGCUCAGUCGUGUCCGACUCUUUGCGACCCCAUGGACUGUAUAGUCCAUGGAAUUCUCUAGCCUAGAAUACUGGAGUAUUUCCCUUCUCCAGGGGAUCUUCCCAACCCAGGAAUCGAACCGGAGUCUCCUGCAUUGCAGGCAGAUUCUUCACCAGCUGAGCUAUCAGGGAAGCCCCAUUAAGCACAAAGGAGGAAGUAAAAUUACAUAUCCCACCCCCACCGCUAU
Molecule: long non-coding RNA, 758 nt
Organism: Cervus elaphus (red deer)
Lineage: Eukaryota; Metazoa; Chordata; Mammalia; Artiodactyla; Cervidae
Exons: 3
Source: RefSeq, a predicted model, not a curated record